Paramacrobiotus metropolitanus is the source of this 314-nucleotide long non-coding RNA. RefSeq lists it as uncharacterized. The record is from RefSeq and is a predicted model, not a curated record. NCBI's taxonomy places the organism in Eukaryota, Metazoa, Tardigrada, Eutardigrada, Parachela, Macrobiotidae. The transcript is spliced from 3 exons.
CUACGAGUUACAAAGUUACGGAAGUUUUACGAGGUUUCCCCGUAUAAAGUUGUUUACCGAAAAUCGGUUACCGUACUUCAACUUACGCUGGUGACUAUUUUUUUCGUUGGUAUCUAAGCCGUGACUCUGAAGUCGGCUGUCCCAGUCGCAUCCGUACCUGGAUUGAUUCGCUCAUCAGAAAAUGAGCCCCCACAAGAAAGAUCCCGAAAAGGUAACUAAUAGUUAGAAAAAACAUAGGGAGCACGGUACGAAAUGCGUUGAAACUAUCAAUGGAUUUAAUUGCCCAAAGAGAUAAUAUUAUGCUAUUCUCCAUA